GUGGGGAAUCUUAGACAAUGGGCGCAAGCCUGAUCUAGCCAUGCCGCGUGAGUGAUGAAGGCCCUAGGGUUGUAAAGCUCUUUCAGCUGGGAAGAUAAUGACGGUACCAGCAGAAGAAGCCCCGGCUAACUCCGUGCCAGCAGCCGCGGUAAUACGGAGGGGGCUAGCGUUGUUCGGAAUUACUGGGCGUAAAGCGCGCGUAGGCGGACUGAAAAGUUGGGGGUGAAAUCCCGGGGCUCAACCUCGGAACUGCCUUCAAAACUAUCAGUCUGGAGUUCGAGAGAGGUGAGUGGAAUUCCGAGUGUAGAGGUGAAAUUCGUAGAUAUUCGGAGGAACACCAGUGGCGAAGGCGGCUCACUGGCUCGAUACUGACGCUGAGGUGCGAAAGCGUGGGGAGCAAACAGGAUUAGAAACCCCAGUAGUCC
This 425-nucleotide ribosomal RNA is filed under the name uncultured bacterium. RNAcentral's name for it is "partial 16S ribosomal RNA". It matches the Rfam family "Bacterial small subunit ribosomal RNA", at positions 354 to 796 of the family's 1533-position model. The record is from RNAcentral.